AAAUUGAAGAGUUUGAUCAUGGCUCAGAUUGAACGCUGGCGGCAGGCCUAACACAUGCAAGUCGAACGGUAGCACAGAGAGCUUGCUCUCGGGUGACGAGUGGCGGACGGGUGAGUAAUGUCUGGGAAACUGCCCGAUGGAGGGGGAUAACUACUGGAAACGGUAGCUAAUACCGCAUAACGUCGCAAGACCAAAGUGGGGGACCUUCGGGCCUCACACCAUCGGAUGUGCCCAGAUGGGAUUAGCUAGUAGGUGGGGUAACGGCUCACCUAGGCGACGAUCCCUAGCUGGUCUGAGAGGAUGACCAGCCACACUGGAACUGAGACACGGUCCAGACUCCUACGGGAGGCAGCAGUGGGGAAUAUUGCACAAUGGGCGCAAGCCUGAUGCAGCCAUGCCGCGUGUAUGAAGAAGGCCUUCGGGUUGUAAAGUACUUUCAGCGAGGAGGAAGGCGUUGUGGUUAAUAACCACAGCGAUUGACGUUACUCGCAGAAGAAGCACCGGCUAACUCCGUGCCAGCAGCCG
RNAcentral lists this ribosomal RNA (525 nucleotides) under Salmonella enterica subsp. enterica serovar Kentucky. Its description in RNAcentral is "bacterial SSU rRNA". It matches the Rfam family "Bacterial small subunit ribosomal RNA", at positions 1 to 517 of the family's 1533-position model. The record is from RNAcentral. Lineage: Bacteria; Pseudomonadati; Pseudomonadota; Gammaproteobacteria; Enterobacterales; Enterobacteriaceae.